Molecule: long non-coding RNA, 1054 nt
Organism: Cyprinus carpio (common carp)
Lineage: Eukaryota; Metazoa; Chordata; Actinopteri; Cypriniformes; Cyprinidae
Source: Ensembl
UUUUUGCAUUUUGUUUGGUCUGUACAAUUCAGGGUAAUUUUAAUAUUUUAAUUUUAAUACAUUUUGUUUACUUCCAAAAACUGUUUUUGGCACUUUUCUAACGCAAAAUGCAAAACCAACUGAGAAACACUGCGUUGAAGUGUGCCGUAUGUUGCAUGUGUUGCACAUUGCAUGAUUGUUUGAGCUUUGCUUGGUUUUUGUGAUUAUUUUUAUUUUUUAUACUCACAUAUAUUUUUAUAUUAAGCCCAAUAGGCUAAUAUGUCUAUGUUUAAUUUGGAAAUGAACAGAUGCAUCUUUAGGCUGCUGUAAAAAUGUAAACACUGCAGUGUUAUUUCACAGGGGAAUCAGAUUGUUUGCUCAGCUCUGCUCAGACACUUAUUAUCAAAGACAAAACAUGUACAAUACUUGAUUCUCCUUGCAGUCACUGUAGGCUAUGGAUAUGUGCACACAGACUCAGAUGAAGUCUUCUGUCAAUCAAGAGCUCUUUUGAUCAUCGACGCCUCCCACAGCUACACACAGCCGUGGAUAUGCUGAUUUGAUCACCCUGGCAACAUCACGAGCCACUGAGGACAAAAACACGAGCCAGCAGCUCCUCACUUUCCAGCAACUCCAUCACCAGUCCUUCUGCUCUUGUGAAUUUGCAGUGCUAGACCUUUACUUCGUGAAUAUCCUCACACUGCUCACUCCUGGACUGUGUCGGACCUCAUCAUUCACGGCUGCGGCAUCCGGCUCAGGAGGAGCUGCCUCAGGGACAGCAUGGCUCAAAGCUGCAGCACACCGAUAGAAGGGCUGUUUGUAUGCUCAGCUAGCGAAUAAGAGCCACUUUGAAGCAUUCACAGUGAAAAUACAGCAUCAGGGUGUUUCUUAAUGAGUGUCUUGGCUGCUUUAGGCUGCAUACAAUGCACAAAUCUGAUCAUUUGACAGAUUUCACAGAUCUGUCCUGUCUGUUGCCAUUCACUUUAGACAUAACUGAUUGUAUUUCCUAUAUUGAUUUUUCCCAAUUAUUGAAGUAAUUGAGAAUAAAAUAUUAUUAAAGGGGUGUUCUGGCUUCCCA